RNAcentral lists this transfer RNA (75 nucleotides) under Thermoplasmata archaeon. RNAcentral's name for it is "tRNA-Ala". It matches the Rfam family "tRNA". From Rfam's summary of the family: Transfer RNA (tRNA) molecules are approximately 80 nucleotides in length. Their secondary structure includes four short double-helical elements and three loops (D, anti-codon, and T loops). Further hydrogen bonds mediate the characteristic L-shaped molecular structure. tRNAs have two regions of fundamental functional importance: the anti-codon, which is responsible for specific mRNA codon recognition, and the 3' end, to which the tRNAs corresponding amino acid is attached (by aminoacyl-tRNA synthetases). tRNAs cope with the degeneracy of the genetic code in two manners: having more than one tRNA (with a specific anti-codon) for a particular amino acid; and 'wobble' base-pairing, i.e. permitting non-standard base-pairing at the 3rd anti-codon position. The record is from RNAcentral. Lineage: Archaea; Methanobacteriati; Thermoplasmatota; Thermoplasmata. RNAcentral also lists the same sequence under 4 other names.
GGGCCGAUAGAUCAGCGGAAGAUCGCCUGCUUUGCAAGCAGGAGGUCAGGGGUUCAAAUCCCCUUCGGUCCACCA